GACGAACGCUGGCGGCGUGCUUAACACAUGCAAGUCGAACGGUGAAGCGCCUUCCUUUUUGGUGGGUGUGGAUGAGUGGCGAACGGGUGAGUAACACGUGAGUAACCUGCCCCCUUCUUCUGGAUAACCGCAUGAAAGUGUGGCUAAUACGGGAUAUUCUGGGUCUGUCGCAUGAUGGGUCUGGGAAAGAUAUUGUUUCGGUGGGGGAUGGGCUCGCGGCCUAUCAGCUUGUUGGUGGGGUGAUGGCCUACCAAGGCGGUGACGGGUAGCCGGCCUGAGAGGGUGGACGGUCACACUGGGACUGAGACACGGCCCAGACUCCUACGGGAGGCAGCAGUGGGGAAUAUUGCACAAUGGGCGCAAGCCUGAUGCAGCGACGCCGAGUGAGGGAUGGAGGCCUUCGGGUUGGGAACCUCUUUCGCCAGUGAAGCAGGCCUGCCUCGUUUGUGGGUGGGUGGAAGGUAGCUGGAUAAGAAGCGCCGGCUAACUACGU
This 493-nucleotide ribosomal RNA is filed under the name uncultured bacterium. RNAcentral's name for it is "partial 16S ribosomal RNA". It matches the Rfam family "Bacterial small subunit ribosomal RNA", at positions 28 to 506 of the family's 1533-position model. The record is from RNAcentral.